UGUUGGCCGGGCGACGGUUGUCCCGGUUUAAGCGUGUAGGUGUGUGUUCCAGGUAAAUCCGGUUCACUUUAACACUGAGGCGUGACGACGAGGCACUACGGUGCUGAAGCAACAAAUGCCCUGCUUCCAGGAAAAGCCUCUAAGCAUCAGGUAACAUCAAAUCGUACCCCAAACCGACACAGGUGGUCAGGUAGAGAAUACCAAGGCGCUUGAGAGAACUCGGGUGAAGGAACUAGGCAAAAUGGUGCCGUAACUUCGGGAGAAGGCACGCUGACACGUAGGUGAAGUGAUUUACUCAUGGAGCUGAAGUCAGUCGAAGAUACCAGCUGGCUGCAACUGUUUAUUAAAAACACAGCACUGUGCAAACACGAAAGUGGACGUAUACGGUGUGACGCCUGCCCGGUGCCGGAAGGUUAAUUGAUGGGGUCAGCGCAAGCGAAGCUCCUGAUCGAAGCCCCGGUAAACGGCGGCCGUAACUAUAACGGUCCUAAGGUAGCGAAAUUCCUUGUCGGGUAAGUUCCGACCUGCACGAAUGGCGUAAUGAUGGCCAGGCUGUCUCCACCCGAGACUCAGUGAAAUUGAACUCGCUGUGAAGAUGCAGUGUACCCGCGGCAAGACGGAAAGACCCCGUGAACCUUUACUAUAGCUUGACACUGAACAUUGAGCCUUGAUGUGUAGGAUAGGUGGGAGGCUUUGAAGUGUGGACGCCAGUCUGCAUGGAGCCGACCUUGAAAUACCACCCUUUAAUGUUUGAUGUUCUAACGUGGACCCGUUACCCGGGUUGCGGACAGUGUCUGGUGGGUAGUUUGACUGGGGCGGUCUCCUCCUAAAGAGUAACGGAGGAGCACGAAGGUUGGCUAAUCCUGGUCGGACAUCAGGAGGUUAGUGCAAUGGCAUAAGCCAGCUUGACUGCGAGCGUGACGGCGCGAGCAGGUGCGAAAGCAGGUCAUAGUGAUCCGGUGGUUCUGAAUGGAAGGGCCAUCGCUCAACGGAUAAAAGGUACUCCGGGGAUAACAGGCUGAUACCGCCCAAGAGUUCAUAUCGACGGCGGUGUUUGGCACCUCGAUGUCGGCUCAUCACAUCCUGGGGCUGAAGUAGGUCCCAAGGGUAUGGCUGUUCGCCAUUUAAAGUGGUACGCGAGCUGGGUUUAGAACGUCGUGAGACAGUUCGGUCCCUAUCUGCCGUGGGCGCUGGAGAACUGAGGGGGGCUGCUCCUAGUACGAGAGGACCGGAGUGGACGCAUCACUGGUGUUCGGGUUGUCAUGCCAAUGGCACUGCCCGGUAGCUAAAUGCGGAAGAGAUAAGUGCUGAAAGCAUCUAAGCACGAAACUUGCCCCGA
RNAcentral lists this ribosomal RNA (1339 nucleotides) under Salmonella enterica. Its description in RNAcentral is "partial 23S ribosomal RNA". It matches the Rfam family "Bacterial large subunit ribosomal RNA", at positions 1485 to 2802 of the family's 2925-position model. The record is from RNAcentral. Lineage: Bacteria; Pseudomonadati; Pseudomonadota; Gammaproteobacteria; Enterobacterales; Enterobacteriaceae. RNAcentral also lists the same sequence under 1 other name.